RNAcentral lists this long non-coding RNA (1361 nucleotides) under Canis lupus familiaris (dog). RNAcentral's name for it is "lncRNA (ENSCAFG00000050208.1, ENSCAFG00805000873.1)". The record is from RNAcentral. Lineage: Eukaryota; Metazoa; Chordata; Mammalia; Carnivora; Canidae.
UGGGGACCUUGGUGCUCUGCCAAGGGUCCCUUUUAGUGGCUUCUGAGAAAUCUCAGAAGGGGUUUUGUGUUGUAGAUGAAGAAUUACAGAUCUGGCUAAAACUCCUACUUAGCUGAGGGCUUGAAAAACAGAAAGAUACAGUGAUUUUCCCAAAGCUGCACAGCAGAUAGAGCUGAGAAUCUGCCAGUUUUCUAGUGUUCCUAGUGCUUUGUGUAUCACAUGAUCGUAUCACAUUACUGACACUGGCGCUUGCUGAGGAUCAGCUGGGGAGAGAUAACGCUGGUGUCUGUAAGCCACAAAGCACUCACACCUCUUGGCUGGUGAUCCACUGGCCAAAGUUGGAAUUCACUUGCCAACACCAGGGCAUACGCAAGAGGAACUGGCCACUGCUGACCAGUGAACCUGCCACCGAAUCUUGAUGAAAGGUUCCCACUACAUUUGCAGAACAGAUGCUGAGACCAAGGGAUCAUAUUUUACUGUAAUGGAAGCCGUCCGAAUGUAUGCCUCACCCAUCUGUCUUCUCUCAAGUGUAACAAAAGGAUAUCAAAGUAGUCACAUCACUUCCAAAGCCUUCCUCUGAAGUCCCUCCUGCCUUCAGAAGAUUGGGGAUGUCAGAGUGAGAGCUAUAAGCACUCCAGAAGAAUUGUGUCCCAAAGCACGUCUUCCUGAGGGUCAGAACAUCACAGGCCCUGGCUGGAACAGACCCUAGAGUUGGCUGAUCAGUGCGGUCAUCUUAUAACCAGAAAGCAGCCUCGGGAAGGUUGGCAGCCAUCAAGACCACAAGCUACUCAGUGGUGUAGCCGGGAUUAGAACCCAGAUCUUUUGGUACCUCUGCCAGGAAGUUUUCCCUAUCCUGGAAUUAUCGGCUUUUCUCAGAAAGGAAGAGGUCAGUCCUCUUCAUCAUGAAAACCACAGUGGAAAGACAAGAAGGAAAUAAGCCAAAAUGUGAAUACUGUUCUGUUUGACAUAGAGAUGACAUUUCGGUCCUAAUUCUAUUUUUCUGCAUUGGCCAAAAUGUCUACAAAGGGCAUAUACUGCUUUUAUGCCAGAAAAAAAAAUUACUUUAAAAAUGAGGGGAUAAAAAAAAGCAGAAGGUGAAGUACAUACCCUAGAAAGCAUCAUCUAUGUGGCUCCUAGUCAUUGAUCCAAAUAAGCAGAACUAAUAAAAUGCCAUGACAUUUCCCUGUGCCAGGGGAGACAUCAGGCUGUGAGCAAGGAUGACUCAUGGAGGCAGUGGGGAGACCUCCCUACUGGCUGCCCGUGGGACGUCAGCUCUCUUUCAUAGGCUUCACUUUGCUGUGCCUUCACCCACAGACUGGCAAGGAGCAGAGGCCUGCUUCGUUACCUCUGGUGAUUUCCUC